This 496-nucleotide ribosomal RNA is filed under the name uncultured bacterium. Its description in RNAcentral is "partial 16S ribosomal RNA". It matches the Rfam family "Bacterial small subunit ribosomal RNA", at positions 28 to 506 of the family's 1533-position model. The record is from RNAcentral.
GAUGAACGCUGGCGGCGUGCCUAAUACAUGCAAGUCGAGCGAACAGAUAAGGAGCUUGCUCCUUUGACGUUAGCGGCGGACGGGUGAGUAACACGUGGGUAACCUACCUAUAAGACUGGGAUAACUUCGGGAAACCGGAGCUAAUACCGGAUAACAUUUGGAACCGCAUGGUUCUAAAGUGAAAGAUGGUUUUGCUAUCACUUAUAGAUGGACCCGCGCCGUAUUAGCUAGUUGGUAAGGUAACGGCUUACCAAGGCAACGAUACGUAGCCGACCUGAGAGGGGGGUCGGCCACACGGGAACUGAAACACGGUACAGACUCCUAGGGGGGGCAGCAGUAGGGAAUCUUCCGCAAUGGGCGAAAGCCGAACGGAGCAACGCCGGGUGGGUGAAAAAGGGUUUCGGCUCGUAAAACUCUGUUAUGAGGGAAAAAAAAACGUGUAAGUAACUGGGCACGUCUUGACGGUACCAAAGCAAAAAGCCACGGCUAACUACGU